Molecule: long non-coding RNA, 1833 nt
Organism: Vulpes vulpes (red fox)
Lineage: Eukaryota; Metazoa; Chordata; Mammalia; Carnivora; Canidae
Source: Ensembl
GAACUGAGGGCUUUGUCCCACCAGGCCCAGAGCGGCGCCCUGAGAAGCAGCAGAUGUGACAGCAGGAAUGGGGGCUUCGGCGUUUCCGGAACAGGGCGCGCUGACCGCCAGGUGCGGGGCCUUGAGCAAAGGCAUUUACCACCGGAAGCAUAAGGAGUCAGGUGCGUAAGACAGAGACGGUAAGAGUGCACACUUGGGAAUUGCUGCGCCUCAAGUGGGUGGGGAGGGCGUCAUUGUGAUGUUGGCCCCAGUGACCUAGGGAGUCGCCCACAGUGACCCUUACCAACGCCUGUGCCCCAGGAGCAGCCUCGGCCUCAUUCGCAGGACAUGCAGGGUUUGCACAGGCCCCGCGAGACCCUCCGGCCGCCUCUCCGCGGGACGGCGGGCCUCCCUGGCCGCUCACCCUAACCCUACCCAAAACCUCCCUGGGGGCCGCUGGCUUGGGAACCCUUCUCCACCAUCUCCUCGUUUGCCACAAACACAAGUUCCCCUCGUGGGACCAACACAACCCGGUGCGGAUUCCGGCUCACACGGGGGGACGUUGGUUUGGUCGCUGUCCGGGCGCUGGUGCAGCUCCAGGCCCGCUCUCUGCCUCCCUGGGCGGCCCACCCACCUGCUGCUCCCUCGCUGCCCAAGCCCCAGGACACCCUGCGGCUCUCGCGUGAGGCCACCCCCCCCCCCCCUCCACCCCCUGCCGCCCAGCAGCCUGUUCUUGUCGUGCACCUGCUGCCGCCUGCGCUCCCAGAGCUGCUGAGGUUGCCAGGCCUGCACUUCUGCGUUCCCGUGCUGUCGCCUGUGCCUCGUACUCCAACAUCCAUGGGUCAGGGAGGAAACCCCCUCGAUUCCCUCUGCUCUGGCCUGAACAGUUGCUGCUGUCGGUGCAGGUCAUGGGCCAGCGUCAAGGCCCUGACACCCGUCCUUUCAGCCCCCCCCCCAAUGUUGGCAAUGCGGACUGCAUGCCCCGCGUCUCCUAGGACUGCCUAAAGCUGUCUCCUAAGGACUGCCCCCGCAGAAUCAGGCCGCCUACUCAGCGACAGCAGCUCCCCCAGGGGGCUCAGCCUUGCGGCCCUGGCUUCGUGCCUGUCCCUGGGAGCUCGGAUCCACCUCCGUGCACAUCACAAGACACUAAGGAAGUGCCUUCCCCGAGCCUGGCCACUGGCCUCUGGACGCAGGACCCACGGGAGGCCUUCGUGCUGGACGCUGCAGGGGCGGAUUUACUGGGCCGGUGACUUAGCAGGUGCUUCUCCCUCGGGGAGCGAGGGAGGGGGCACAAGGGGAGAGAAUCCCCAGCGGCUCCAGCUCGGUUCCAUCUCACCACCCUGUGAUCAUGACCCGGGGCGACCCCGAGAGUUGGAUGUCCCCCCUUCGGACACCCCCCCAUCCCGAUGCCCCAGGAAAGUCCUCCUUGCAGCACGAUGCUCCCUGGGGCGGCGGGUGCCCUGUCCCUGCAGGGCCCGACAGGACAGACCGAUAGGACGCAGGCUCCAACAUCGGUGCCAGCUGUCCGCUCCUGUGUGCCCUGGAGCUAAUCCCUCCCUGGCCGUGCCUGGCCCCCCGGAUCCCCACCUGGCGGUCCCAGGACAGCCCCCCUGUCCUUCCUUGGGGCUUGAGGGCCUUAGAAAGGCCAGCACACAGGGGGCCCAAGGACACUGUGGACUUCAGAACAACGGAUCGAGCUUGCUUCGUCGUCACGGUGAACGUACCUCGUGGUCACAAGACGUCGAGGUUGCAGGGGGCGCUGAAGGUCGUCGGGCCUUCCCCGCACCCCUAAAGCCACCCUAAGAAGUGCCAUCCGUUAGUCAGUUUUAAAAAAGGUCUUUAACAGAAACCAGC